GUUGUCCGGAUUUACUGGGCGUAAAGAGCGCGCAGGCGGUCGUUUAAGUCGCAUGUGAAAGCCCCCGGCUCAACUGGGGAGGGUCAUUCGAUACUGAUCGACUUGAAGGCAGGAGAGGGAAGUGGAAUUCCGGGUGUAGUGGUGAAAUGCGUAGAUAUCCGGAGGAACACCAGUGGCGAAGGCGACUUCCUGGCCUGUUCUUGACGCUGAGGCGCGAAAGCUGGGGGAGCAAACGGG
RNAcentral lists this ribosomal RNA (237 nucleotides) under uncultured bacterium. RNAcentral's name for it is "partial 16S ribosomal RNA". It matches the Rfam family "Bacterial small subunit ribosomal RNA", at positions 540 to 776 of the family's 1533-position model. The record is from RNAcentral.